CAAUUGGCCCUUUUCAGGGCCAACAUACGUUCAUAAAAGAGUUUAUU
Aedes aegypti (yellow fever mosquito) is the source of this 47-nucleotide non-coding RNA. NCBI's taxonomy places the organism in Eukaryota, Metazoa, Arthropoda, Insecta, Diptera, Culicidae. The record is from Rfam.